CCUGUUGCGCCCCUUGUUUGCUAUAGGCAGUCCAGCAGGUAAAGCAAAACCUGUUCGGAGAAAAGGACAAGACAAGGAGUAUCAAAUGGAUCCGCAGAGUUAAUCUAGGAGGGUGGAUUGGUUUGGUGGUCAAGAAGUGUCGCCCUUUAAGUUAGUGUCAAAUCUAUACAUCCAAUCCAAAUAAAAUAAAAUAAAAUAAAUAGUGCAGAUUACUCCAACCUCAUUUCUACAAAAUAAAUAAAUAUGUUGCAUUUUAUAUACUUUUUCCAUUAAUCAAAGAAAUUGAGAAUUUUAUGGUCAUCCAAAUAUGGGGG
Molecule: long non-coding RNA, 314 nt
Filed under: Amborella trichopoda
Lineage: Eukaryota; Viridiplantae; Streptophyta; Magnoliopsida; Amborellales; Amborellaceae
Description: long non-coding RNA (ATRI_LNC001086)
Source: RNAcentral